This 74-nucleotide transfer RNA is filed under the name Bacteriophage sp. Its description in RNAcentral is "tRNA-Arg". It matches the Rfam family "tRNA". Rfam says of the family: Transfer RNA (tRNA) molecules are approximately 80 nucleotides in length. Their secondary structure includes four short double-helical elements and three loops (D, anti-codon, and T loops). The record is from RNAcentral.
GGUUGAUUAGCUCAAAUGGACAGAGCAGGAAAUUCCUAAUUUUCAGGUUGGGAGUUCGAGUCUCCCAUCAACCA